UGAGUGCGAGCUGCUACGGCAGCGAAGUUGGUGAUGUCAUGCUUCCAAGAAAAGCCCUAUACCCGUUAAGGCAUCAUGGCCUGUACCCGAAACCGACACAGGUGGGGUGGUAGAGAAUACCGAGGGGCGCGAGGUAACUCUCUCUAAGGAACUCGGCAAAAUGGCCCCGUAACUUCGGGAGAAGGGGUGCCACCGCAAGGUGGUCGCAGUGAAGAGGCCCAGGCGACUGUUUACCAAAAACACAGGUCUCCGCUAAGUCGCAAGACGAUGUAUGGGGGCUGACGCCUGCCCAGUGCCGGAAGGUUAAGGAAGCUGGUCAGCGCAAGCGAAGCUAGCGACUGAAGCCCCGGUGAGCGGCGGCCGUAACAAUAACGGUCCUAAGGUAGCGAAAUUCCUUGUCGGAUAAGUUCCGACCCGCACGAAAGGCGUAACGAUCUGGGCGCUGUCUCGGAGAGAGGCUCGGCGAAAUAGAAUUGUCUGUGAAGAUGCGGACUACGUGCACCCGGACAGAAAGACCCUAUGAAGCUUUACUGUAGCUUGGUAUUGUGCCCGGGCUCGCAAUGCGCAGGAUAGGUGGGAGGCUUUGAUCAUCGGCUUGCGGGUCGAUGUGAGCCAACGGUGAGAUACCACUCUUUGCGAGCUAGGGUUCUAACGGCCACCCGUCAUCCGGGGGCCGGACAGUACCUGGUGGGCAGUCUGACUGGGGCGGUCGCCUCCUAAAAGGUAACGGAGGCGCGCAAAGGUUUGCUCAGGCUGGUUGGAAAUCAGCCGACGAGUGUAAAAGCAGAAGCAAGCUUGACUGUGAGACCAACAAGUCGAACAGGGAGGAAACUCGGCUUUAGUGAUCCGACGGUUCUGAGUGGAAGGGCCGUCGCUCAACGGAUAAAAGUUACUCUAGGGAUAACAGGCUGAUCUCCCCCAAGAGUUCACAUCGACGGGAAGGUUUGGCACCUCGAUGUCGGCUCAUCGCAACCUGGGGCUGAAGUCGGUCCCAAGGGUUGGGCUGUUCGCCCAUUAAAGCGGUACGCGAGCUGGGUUCAGAACGUCGUGAGACAGUUCGGUCCAUAUCCGGUGCACGCGCAGGAAUAUUGAGAGGAUUUCUCCCUAGUACGAGAGGACCGGGAGGAACGCACCUCUGGUGUACCAGUUAUCGUGCCAACGGUAAACGCUGGGUAGCCAUGUGCGGAGUGGAUAACCGCUGAAAGCAUCUAAGUGGGAAGCCCACCUCAAGAUGAGUAUUCCCAUGGCGUAAGCCAGUAAGGUCACGGGAAGAACAUCCGUUGAUAGGCUCUAUGUGGAAGCGCAGUAAUGCGUGAAGCAGAGGAGUACUAAUAGACCGAGGGCUUGAC
Molecule: ribosomal RNA, 1349 nt
Filed under: metagenome
Description: bacterial LSU rRNA
Rfam family: Bacterial large subunit ribosomal RNA
Source: RNAcentral